RNAcentral lists this ribosomal RNA (746 nucleotides) under uncultured Bacteroidales bacterium. RNAcentral describes it as "bacterial SSU rRNA". It matches the Rfam family "Bacterial small subunit ribosomal RNA", at positions 36 to 771 of the family's 1533-position model. Lineage: Bacteria; Pseudomonadati; Bacteroidota; Bacteroidia; Bacteroidales. The record is from RNAcentral.
CUAGCUACAGGCUUAACACAUGCAAGUCGAGGGGCAGCAUGGUCUUAGCUUGCUAAGACUGAUGGCGACCGGCGCACGGGUGAGUAACACGUAUCCAACCUGCCGUCUACUCUUGGACAGCCUUCUGAAAGGAAGAUUAAUACAAGAUGGCAUCAUGAGUCCGCAUGUUCACAUGAUUAAAGGUAUUCCGGUAGACGAUGGGGAUGCGUUCCAUUAGAUAGUAGGCGGGGUAACGGCCCACCUAGUCUUCGAUGGAUAGGGGUUCUGAGAGGAAGGUCCCCCACAUUGGAACUGAGACACGGUCCAAACUCCUACGGGAGGCAGCAGUGAGGAAUAUUGGUCAAUGGGCGAGAGCCUGAACCAGCCAAGUAGCGUGAAGGAUGACUGCCCUAUGGGUUGUAAACUUCUUUUAUAAAGGAAUAAAGUCGGGUAUGUAUACCCGUUUGCAUGUACUUUAUGAAUAAGGAUCGGCUAACUCCGUGUCAGCAGCCGCGGUAAUACGGAGGAUCCGAGCGUUAUCCGGAUUUAUUGGGUUUAAAGGGAGCGUAGAUGGAUGUUUAAGUCAGUUGUGAAAGUUUGCGGCUCAACCGUAAAAUUGCAGUUGAUACUGGAUAUCUUGAGUGCAGUUGAGGCAGGCGGAAUUCGUGGUGUAGCGGUGAAAUGCUUAGAUAUCACGAAGAACUCCGAUUGCGAAGGCAGCCUGCUAAGCUGCAACUGACAUUGAGGCUCGAAAGUGUGGGUAUCAA